UAGCGGCGGACGGGUGAGUAACGCGUGGGAACAUACCCUUUGGUACGGAAUAGCCUCGGGAAACUGGGAGUAAUACCGUAUGUGCCCUUCGGGGGAAAGAUUUAUCGCUAUGGGAUGGGCCCGCGUCAGAUUAGGUAGUUGGUAGGGUAAUGGCCUACCAAGCCGACGAUCUGUAGCUGGUCUGAGAGGAUGAUCAGCCACACUGGGACUGAGACACGGCCCAGACUCC
This 229-nucleotide ribosomal RNA is filed under the name uncultured bacterium. Its description in RNAcentral is "partial 16S ribosomal RNA". It matches the Rfam family "Bacterial small subunit ribosomal RNA", at positions 93 to 339 of the family's 1533-position model. The record is from RNAcentral.